Molecule: ribosomal RNA, 1576 nt
Filed under: Ailurus fulgens (lesser panda)
Lineage: Eukaryota; Metazoa; Chordata; Mammalia; Carnivora; Ailuridae
Description: 16S ribosomal RNA
Rfam family: Bacterial large subunit ribosomal RNA
Source: RNAcentral
AGCUAAAGCUAGCCCAAAAAACAACCAAUCAAACUACUACUAAUUAAUAAAUCAAAACAUUCACUUACACAAUAAAGUAUAGGAGAUAGAAAUUUUAUAUGGAGCAAUAGAGAAAGUACCGCAAGGGAAAGAUGAAAGAUAUUUUAAAGCAAUAAACAGCAAAGAUUUACCCUUUUACCUUUUGCAUAAUGAAUUAACUAGAAUAAACUUAACAAAGAGAACUUAAGCUAAGUCCCCCGAAACCAGACGAGCUACCUAUGAACAAUCUAUCGGGAUCAACUCAUCUGUGUCGCAAAACAGUGAGAAGAUUUAUAGGUAGAGGUGAAAAGCCUAACGAGCCUGGUGAUAGCUGGUUGCCCAGAAUAGAAUUUCAGUUCGAUUUUAAAUUUACCUCAAACACUCCAGAAAUUUCAAUGUAAAUUUAAGAUAUAAUCUAAAAAGGUACAGCUUUUUAGAUUGAAGGAUACAGCCUUUUUUAGUGAGUAAAAAUCAAAUAAAAUCAUAGUAGGCCCAAAAGCAGCCAUCAAUUAAGAAAGCGUUCAAGCUCAACAAUCGAAUCUUCUUAAUACCAAAAACAUUAAAUCAACUCCUAAUAUGCUACUGGGCUAGUCUAUACAAUUGUAGAAGCAAUAAUGUUAAUAUGAGUAACGAGAAAGUACUUCUCCUUGCACAAGCUUAUAACAGAAACGGAUAACCGCUGAUAGUUAACAAUAAGACGAAUACACACCACCCAUUAAACACUCGUCAAACCAAUUGUUAGCCCAACACAGGAGUGCAACCAAGGAAAGAUUAAAAGAAGUAAAAGGAACUCGGCAAACACAAACCCCGCCUGUUUACCAAAAACAUCACCUCCAGCAUACACAGUAUUGGAGGCACUGCCUGCCCGGUGACAUCAGUUAAACGGCCGCGGUAUCCUGACCGUGCAAAGGUAGCAUAAUCACUUGUUCUUUAAAUAAGGACUAGUAUGAAUGGCCACACGAGGGUUUAACUGUCUCUUACUUCCAAUCAGUGAAAUUGACCUUCCCGUGAAGAGGCGGGAAUAAAACAAUAAGACGAGAAGACCCUAUGGAGCUUCAAUUAACUGACCCAAUAUAGAUUGACCAUAUUUAACCAACCAGGGAUAUCAUAACUCUAUAUCUGGAUUAGCAAUUUAGGUUGGGGUGACCUCGGAGAAAAAACCAUCCUCCGAGUGAUACAAUUCUAGACUUACUAGUCGAAACGCUCUAUCAUUUAUUGAUCCAAAAUUUUUGAUCAACGGAAUAAGUUACCCUAGGGAUAACAGCGCAAUCCUAUUCAAGAGUCCAUAUCAACAAUAGGGUUUACGACCUCGAUGUUGGAUCAGGACAUCCUAAUGGUGCAGCAGCUAUUAAGGGUUCGUUUGUUCAACGAUUAAAGUCCUACGUGAUCUGAGUUCAGACCGGAGCAAUCCAGGUCGGUUUCUAUCUAUUAAACUGCUUUUCCCAGUACGAAAGGACAAGAAAAGCAAGGCCCACUUUACUGAAGCGCCUUUAGACCAAUAGAUGAUAUAAUCUUAAUCUAAUUAGUCUACCUCUACUUAACCCUAGAAAUAGGGUUU